This 240-nucleotide unclassified non-coding RNA is filed under the name uncultured fungus. RNAcentral's name for it is "sequence contains ITS1". The stretch from base 1 to 117 matches the Rfam family "5.8S ribosomal RNA", at positions 49 to 154 of the family's 154-position model. Lineage: Eukaryota; Fungi. The record is from RNAcentral.
UGAAAGGCGAAACGUAAUGUGAAUCGCAACUAACAGUGAAUCAUCGAAUCUUUGAACGCAGGCCGCACCUUGUAACAUCACUCUGUGUUGUUUCAAGGUAUCCACGUAUGAGUGUCAGCCCAAUAUCAUUUAUUGGUUCAAGAAAAUGUUCAUUUUUAAUGAUUCAAAUUCUUGAAUACAUAUUUUAUGGAAACAUAAUAUGUCUGGCCUCAUAUGUGGAAGGUUACCCGCUGGAUUUAA